AAUGUUUACAAAUUUUAGCCUACUAUGUGUAGCAAGGAAUGUAAAUUGAUUAUACUAUGAUGUGUGCUUUUAUUUUCUGUCUGAACAACUUUUCUUCUAGAAGGGAGAUUUAUGAAAAUAACAAUAUCAAAUUUUCUGGAUAUUGAAAAUACAGAUUAUAAUAUUACAGUAUUAUAUCACCAAUGAAAAAACAAUAAAUAAUUGUUAUUGUGUAUUCAAUAAUUUCCUAAAAAAGGAAAUUAA
Non-coding RNA from Cinara cedri, 243 nucleotides. Lineage: Eukaryota; Metazoa; Arthropoda; Insecta; Hemiptera; Aphididae. The record is from the annotation of a GenBank genome assembly.